This 73-nucleotide transfer RNA is filed under the name Polyangiaceae bacterium. RNAcentral describes it as "tRNA-Trp". It matches the Rfam family "tRNA". Rfam says of the family: Transfer RNA (tRNA) molecules are approximately 80 nucleotides in length. Lineage: Bacteria; Pseudomonadati; Myxococcota; Polyangiales; Polyangiaceae. The record is from RNAcentral.
AGGGGUGUAGCUCAACUGGUAGAGCAGCGGAUUCCAAAUCCGCAGGCUUCGGGUUCGAGUCCCGCCGCCCCUG